UACGAAGGGUGCAAGCGUUACUCGGAAUUACUUGGCGUAAAGGGCUCGUAGGCGGCCAACUAAGUCAGACGUGAAAUCCCUCGGCUUAACCGGGGAACUGCAUCUGAUACUGGAUGGCUUGAGAUUGGGAGAGGGAUGCGGAAUUCCAGGUGUAGCGGUGAAAUGCGUAGAUAUCUGGAGGAACACCGGUGGCGAAGGCGGCAUCCUGGACCAACACUGACGCUGAGGAGCGAAAGCCAGGGGAGCAAACGGG
RNAcentral lists this ribosomal RNA (253 nucleotides) under uncultured bacterium. RNAcentral's name for it is "partial 16S ribosomal RNA". It matches the Rfam family "Bacterial small subunit ribosomal RNA", at positions 524 to 776 of the family's 1533-position model. The record is from RNAcentral.